Molecule: ribosomal RNA, 558 nt
Filed under: uncultured bacterium
Lineage: Bacteria
Description: bacterial SSU rRNA
Rfam family: Bacterial small subunit ribosomal RNA
Source: RNAcentral
CCUACGGGAGGCAGCAGUGGGGAAUAUUGGACAAUGGGCGCAAGCCUGAUCCAGCAAUACCGCGUGAGUGAUGAAGGUCUUCGGAUCGUAAAGCUCUUUUAGUGGAGAAGAUAAUGACGGUAUCCACAGAAAAAGCACCGGCAAACUUCGUGCCAGCAGCCGCGGUAAUACGAAGGGUGCUAGCGUUGUUCGGAAUUAUUGGGCGUAAAGCGUACGUAGGCGGUUUAGUAAGUCGAUUGUGAAAUACCCGAGCUCAACUUGGGAAUUGCAAUCGAAACUGCUUGGCUAGAGUUUAGUGGGGGAUAGUGGAAUUCCUAGUGUAGGGGUGAAAUCCGUAGAUAUUAGGAGGAACAUCAGUGGCGAAGGCGACUAUCUACGCUAAUACUGACGCUAAGGUACGAAAGCGUGGGGAGCAAACAGGAUUAGAUACCCUGGUAGUCCACGCAGUAAACGAUGAGUGCUAGUUGUCGGGGUCUUAGACUUCGGUGGCGAAGCUAACGCGUUAAGCACUCCGCCUGGGGACUACGGUCGCAAGCUAAAACUUAAAGGAAUUGACGG